Gorilla gorilla gorilla (western lowland gorilla) is the source of this 1193-nucleotide long non-coding RNA. RefSeq lists it as uncharacterized. The transcript has 3 exons. Lineage: Eukaryota; Metazoa; Chordata; Mammalia; Primates; Hominidae. The record is from RefSeq and is a predicted model, not a curated record.
AAACUUCUUCAUUUUUACUUUUCACAAAAAAAAUCUCUUCUGGAAGCAGCAAAUAAAAUCUUCCCAAAUCACUGGGUGCUGAGUAGAGUGUUAAGACACUAGCCCUUGAAGGAAGAAUGAAUAAGCAAUUCAAAGUGGGCUUUUCUGCCCUAGGCUAAAUCUGAAAUCAUCCAUUUUGCCAGCAGUAUUCUGUCUGCCAACCUACCUGCAAAGAAAGGGGCCAUUUAAAACUUCACAUCCACCCGAGAUGGCUGUUGUACAAAACACACACUCACAGGCUCCCCUCAAAGCCUAGUAAGGAAGAAGGAAGAAGGAAAAAGCAAAGGAAAUAUCUGGCAGCUCCUAGACUUUAGGAAUUCCACAAACAAAGCCAUUGCCAACAUCUAUUUGACAGGAUGUAUAGAGAGUUCAUAAAGUAAGUGUUUAUAGAAAUUCCAAAAUGUUUAAAACUAUCUCUUGAUUUUUGAAGGUCACUGUAAUCUAGUCUAUUGGAGAAUGCUAUUGUAGAGUCUUUGGCUAUUGUUACUUAUACCUGCAUAUAUGAAAUCACCACUCCUAAAAACCACGAAUUAGAAGGCUGAUUUGUUUAAAGCAAUACUGUUGUCCACGAUGGAAGAAGGAUGCUAACUCACAGAGAGAAUGAUGCUGCCUGUGGAACAGAGUCGGAGCUGGCUUUUAUGGAACCUAUUGUCACUUUGAUUAUACACUGUCUAGGACAGGACUGAGGCCCACAUAACACCAAGCAUACCACAAAUACAAAAAGUGGCAUACAGGGAAAAAGAGGUCAAAUUAAACAUCAAGGUAGCUAAAAGGAAAAUUGUGUCCGCUGCUCUAAUAUCACAACGCCAAGGAGAACUGCAGACAUUUGUCCUCGAGUUUCUCAGGCAUGUCUGCACUAUUGUUUCUAAAUGUAUCCACAGGUUGCCAGUAAUGAUGUUUCUGGUGAUCUGGCUCAGAAGGCUGAGCUGAUGAGUGAUCACUUAGAAAUACUGAAUCAGGCAAUGGAAAUUCUGAAUCGGUGGGCUGUAGAGAACGAACUGAGGGCGAGAUGACUCGGGGCCGGAGGGCUAUUAUGGACUAUGGACAAGCUGAAGGCAUGGGAAGCCUGACCAGUAGAAACAGGAAAAUGAACUUGGUGCACAGAGAAAAGCAGGGACGUCAUGAACGAAAGACCACAGACCCUCUGUUCUAGU